Molecule: long non-coding RNA, 411 nt
Filed under: Carica papaya (papaya)
Lineage: Eukaryota; Viridiplantae; Streptophyta; Magnoliopsida; Brassicales; Caricaceae
Description: long non-coding RNA (CPAP_LNC014030)
Source: RNAcentral
UAACACUUUUAGAAGCUCUCAAACAAAAAAAAUUCUUUUAAUAGUAUGAUAAAAAAAAAUGGUUAUUUUUUAUUGUCUGAAUUAUUAUAUGUUUAAAUGGUGAAAGUUUCACCAUUCUACCUAAAAAGGUAUUUACAUUCUUUCCUAACUCACUCUUAUUCUUUACUACUCAAAUCAAAAGCGGUCCAAUGUAACAACACUAAAAAUCUAUUUACACAGAAACUGCAUCAAUACAAUAUCCUGAAUAUAGCUCUCUACUCUAAAUAUAAAAAGCUGAUGAUAUAUAUGACAGUUUUCUGUUCUACCAUAUCAUUUCCAUGGAAGCAGCUCAUCCCAUCUAGGAGCUUUCUGCACCAGAAUGUCAACAUGUGCAUUUUCAUGCUUCACAUCCACAUACCCUUCACUUUUUUG